Molecule: ribosomal RNA, 253 nt
Filed under: uncultured bacterium
Lineage: Bacteria
Description: partial 16S ribosomal RNA
Rfam family: Bacterial small subunit ribosomal RNA
Source: RNAcentral
CACGUAGGAGGCGAGCGUUGUCCGGAAUCAUUGGGCGUAAAGAGCGCGCAGGCGGCUUGGCAAGUCGGGUGUGAAAUCCCGGGGCUCAACCCCGGGACUGCAUUCGAUACUGUCAGGCUAGAGGUAGGUAGGGGAGAUCGGAAUUCCUGGUGUAGCGGUGAAAUGCGUUGAUAUCCGAUGGAACACCGGUGGCGAAGGCGGCUUACUGGGUCUCUACUGACGCUGAGGCACGAAAGCUAGGGUAGCAAACGGG